CCAGACAGCAGGCAACCAGACACAUAGAGUCCCCAGUCUCCUGGGUCUCAGUUGAGUGAAUACCUGUGAAAUCACCAGUGCUUGAGAAAUGCUGCCUCAAG
This is a non-coding RNA of Ceratotherium simum simum (southern white rhinoceros), 101 nucleotides long. The record is from RefSeq and is a predicted model, not a curated record. Lineage: Eukaryota; Metazoa; Chordata; Mammalia; Perissodactyla; Rhinocerotidae.